Molecule: long non-coding RNA, 959 nt
Organism: Mesocricetus auratus (golden hamster)
Lineage: Eukaryota; Metazoa; Chordata; Mammalia; Rodentia; Cricetidae
Exons: 4
Source: RefSeq, a predicted model, not a curated record
CCGCGGCAAUCAAUGGAAAAAUGGCGGCUGCCGCUCUCGCGAGAAUUCGGCGCGGUGGGCGCGCAGCCGGGCGCCUGGCGCCUGAGGUGCGCGGGUGGCCGUCGGGAGCUGGGAAUCUUCUCACCUCUCUCUCUCUCUCUCUCUCUCGGCCCUAGGGUACGCAACGCUGGUUGAGGGCCAGUGCAAACACUUUUUAUAACCGGAGUCCGGGCCUUCCAUUCUCCGGCUCCCUCUGUUGGCAGAUGGAGGGACCAGGCCCCAGAGUCGUGGACAGGCUCCGGUUCAAAGUCCCCUUUCCGACCCGAGAGUCCGACACUUCCUCUUCCCAAACGCGGGGCCGGUCUGAGGGAGCCUCUGUCUGACAGCAGAGCUGAAAUGGGCUUCAACCUGUGCUGUUCUCUUAAACAUGCUUUUUUUUUGAGAAUUUUAAUGCCUUCUGACAGCUAAGUGGGAAUCAAAGUGUGGUGUUCAUGAUGGUGAGCUGGGAGAAAUGGGCAUUUAGUUCCUGGCAUCCACUGAGCACUGCAUAAGUCCUUGACACUGGUGGAAUUAUGCCCAAAUUGGUUCUCCAGCCUUAGUUUGGCAAUCUGACCUACUAAACUUAUCUUAGAACAGCCCACUUUUUCAACUUUAUCAGCACAAACUAGGCCAGCCUACUAUCAUCUCUGAUUAAGACUAAGUGGUUUCCUGUCUUCUAAUAACUAUCCAUACAGCAGUUUAAAUACAUUUUUAAAGAAAAAUAUUUGGGACUGUACAGAUGGCUCAGUCACUAGGAAUGCAUGCUAUUCGUGUAGAAAUCCCGAAUUUUGGAGCCCAGCACCCACACUGGGUGGCUCACAACCGCUUGGUAACUCCAUGUACAAAGCUCAAGUCCAAAUGGAUCAAAGACCUCAACAUAAAUCCAGCCACACUGAACCUCUUAGAAGAAAAAGUGGAAGGUAUCUUUGAACAAAUUGGUA